CCUAAGUCAGUGGCACGUUUUUAACAGCUGCCUCCUUCCCGCUUGUCCCCCACAGGCUGGUGCUGGUACAAAUGGCCCCUUUCUAUCUGCCUGGUCCCCACCCACCAGUCCAAGGGCCAUCUCCCUGUGGGGACAGGAGACCCAGGACUCCCACCCUGGGGGCCACCACCAGGCUGGCUAUCCUCAUGCCAUCAUCUCAGGAUAAGUCUGAGUCCCUCCCUCUUUUUCCGUCCAAGACUGACAGUAGGUCCUCAGGAUGGUUUGAUGGAAGGAUCAAGGGUGAGACGCCCUUUGCAGCCUCAGGGGACCACUGGAAACUGCGCCCCUGCUGGAAACUCAAGACAAUUUCUGCUCAUCCAGCAGCUGACUGCAAACCCACGCCUGACCUCACAGCAAGCUCUGAAUGA
Molecule: long non-coding RNA, 407 nt
Filed under: Capra hircus (goat)
Lineage: Eukaryota; Metazoa; Chordata; Mammalia; Artiodactyla; Bovidae
Description: lncRNA (ENSCHIG00000007719.1)
Source: RNAcentral